UUUUUUUUUUUAAUUUAUUUUUUAUUGUUAUUUCCCCCAACACACUUUUUUUUUUUCUGCUGUACAGCAUGGGGACCCAGUUACACAUACAUGUAUACAUAAUUUUUUCUCCCAUUGUCGUGCUGCAUUAAGUAUCUAGACAUAGUUUUCAGUACUAUACAGCAGGAUCUCAUUGUAAAUCCAUUACAUGAGCAAUAGUUUGAAUCCACUGACCCCCAAGCUCCCAAUCUCUCCCACUCCCUCCCCCUUGGCAAACACAAGUCUAUUCUCCAAGUCCAUGAUUUUCUUUACUGUGGAAAGGUUCGUUUGUGCUGGAUAUUAGAUACCAGAUAUAAGUGAUAUCAUAUGGUGUUUGUCUUUCUCUUUCUGACUUAUUUCACUCAGUAUGAGAGUCUCUAGUUCCAUCCAUGUUGCUACAAAUGGCAUUAUGUCAUUUUUUCUAUGGCUGAGUAGUAUUCCAUUGUGUGUAUAUACCACAUCUUCCUAAUCCAAUUGUCUGUAGAUGGACAUUUGGGUUGUUUCCAUGUCUUGGCUAUUGUAAAUAGAGCUGCAAUGAACAUGUGGGGGCAUGUGUCUUUUUAAAGGAAAGUUUUGUCUGGAUAUAUGCCCAAGAGUGGGAUUGCUGGAUCAUAUGGUAGUUCUAUGUAUAGAUUUCUAAGGUACCUCCAUACUGUCCUCCAUAGUGACUGUACCAGCUUACAUUCCCACCACCAGUGCAGGAGGGUUUCCAGAAAGAGGAUUCUGAAUGAGCUUAGCACUCAGUUACAAUGCUAAUUUCUCUUGACUGGAAAUCACUUUCUUCAGGGCUUUUGCUGAAAGGACCAAUCAAGAUUCCUGUUGUACCACCAGUUUUUCAAACAGUUUUGGGACAUCCAUUGUUGCAGUAACCCUCAGAGUCUACAGAAGGUGUCUAUAGCAUCUUUUUGUGUGUGUGUCUUGCACGUAGAAGUUCCCAGUCCAGGGAUUGAACUUGUGCCACAGCUGUAAGCACAGCCACAGCAGUGACAAUGCCAGAUCUUUAAUCUGCUGAGUCACCAGGGAACUCCUAUAGAAUCUUGUUUUUUAUUUUUUUAAGGAGAAUAUGAUUUUCUUUUCAGAAGGUGAUGAUUCAUAGUCAAGGGUAGGACUCAAACCAUGGAAUGUUUUGGGCUAAGACAGUAUAAAACAAUGGAAUGCAAGUAUUCAUUUUUAUCUGUGAUGCUUGUAAACAUCCAUUAAAAGUGUAAAUGCUCAAUUUAACUCCAUUUACCCCAAUCUACUAAAGACUAUAAAAGAUUAAGAUAAUGGAAUAAAAUAUUAGUCCCUGUGUAACAUACAAACCCUUGGGUAACAUCAAAAGCAAAAUGUAAAAUGAGUGCCUUUAAUUGUAAUAUUUACACUCUCCCUGGCUGUCCCAACAUCAUUUAUAGGCAGCUUAAUUAAACACUAUCCUAACUCAGCAUAAGGAGACCUGAGGGGACAUAUUUUAUACCUUCAAACCAUAAGUGUGAAAGAAAGCUUUGUUUCUGAAGCCUUUGUCCUUGUAAUGAUUAGGCAACCUGGAGAACAUGCAUGAGUCACCCAAACUGCUCCUUGCUUGGUCACCUAAGAGGUCAAAGGGGACAGUGCUGCCAUGCUUUAUGACCUGCUUUUGCCACACACUCUCCAGGUGCCCCUGUUCUCUAGGAACCUGAAAUUCUGACUCCAUAUUGCACAUGCUGACAACCUCCACUUUUACAACACACUCUAGCUCCGAAGAGCUGGGCUUCAGCUACACUCAGAAGUAUCACUAUCCUGAGGAGUCUUGGCAACAUUUUAAUAAUAAGCAGAAUUUUUGCAUUUUUAACAUCUUCAAAAUUCAUGAUGCAUCUUAGAAUUGAUGCAUUAUAAUAGUCAAUGUCAACCAGGUGGCAAGUACAGUGCUUUGAGCGAAAACCUUCUAUAGACAGCCCCUGGAUGAAUCAUGAAGGCAUCACCAUCUAAGCACCUUAGAGUCAAUAAAAAAUGAGUGUCUUCAACCAGAUAACAUAGCUAACAUUUACUGACAACUUUCCGUGGACUGUUGUACCAGUUAUCGGAUGUCACAUUAAUUCUGCCUAACCAACAACCAUAAAACCUCAGUGUUAUACAACAAUCAACAUUUAUUAUUAUUUCUCAUGAAUCUGUGGGAUGACAGAAAUUCUGAUUUAGGCCAGGCCCAGCUGGACUUACCAUGUGUCUGCAGUCAGCUUCAGCUGUGUGUUUCUGCUGAUCUUGGUUGGGUUCCCUCAUGUUUGAAAAUUAGCUAACAGGAGGCUGGUUGACUGGGACAUGUUUCCUUCCUCCUGUUGUUCCUUCCUCAGGCAGUUUAACCUUAGCUUGUACUCCAGGUAGCAGGAUUCCAAAAGAGGAGAUGAACUCAUGCAAAAAGUUUUUUCAAGAUUCUGCAUGAAUAAUAAACAUUCUACUGGCCAAAGCAAGUCCUUUCCAUAAGCCCCCAAACAAACCUGAAGAUUCUCAGAUCUUCCUCUGAGCUCUCUUUGGCCUCCUGUAACACUUAGCUAGAGAUGGACAUCUGCUGCCCCCUUUAGGGUUGGUGAUCACUUUUCAGCCUACCACCUUCUGAACCUGCCAACCUUAGUCAUGAGCCAUAUCUGCCUAAUAUCUGUGGCCUUACACACUGUGCAUCCUAUUUAAUUCUUAAUAUCUACACCUUUAACUACUACUGUAAUUAAAAACUACAAUACAGCUUUGAAAAUUGUCAAACAUAUCUUCCUGUCAAGCCCAUCUAUCAUCUGAAAAAAAAAAUGCUAGAGCUACUGCUAAAAAGUAUAUCAAAGUAACUCACAUAGGAUCCUUGUGGGAAUUCCUUUACAUCUUUCCCAAGGAACUAGAAACUCACCAAACGUUGAAAACCAAGACCAAAAUCAUGCUCAAGAUUAGUGAUCACAGUCUUUCUUUUAAAUCAACCUGUCUAAAACCCUUAUUCUAAAUCAAUCUGGUAAGAAUGACAGCUGUUAGAAGACUAUACUGCUAGUGCUAGAUUCACACUAAUAGCUGGUCUUAAAACUUUAAGAAAAGGAUAAAGUAGUGGGUCAAAGAUGCAGGGUCUGCUCAUCUGGAUUUAUUUUGUAAUCUUAGUCUAUUGAUCACUUUCUCUAAAUAUUUUGUCAAUUAUUUAUAGAAAAGUGAGGAAGAACAUUCCUUUGAUGCCACAUUUUUAUCCCCAAACCAUCCUUUGGAGAUCUAGUGUAUUACAAGUUUAUUGUGGUCUUCAAUCUUCAAGGGAUCAUUUCACCAAGUUUAUUUCUCUCUAACUUAAAUGCUAGCUGAUGGCAAGGUCCAGGGAAAAAAGCUUCAGACAAACAGUGUACUUGGAUAUUUGUAUUUCUUGUGCUUGAGCAAUUCAAUAAAACUGCUUGGUAGGCUGCCUUGGGAUAUGACAGGCUUAACAGCCCGCUGAACAAACAGUGGAGUUGCUGUCACACUUGAAUUACAGUCUGUUUAAACUUCAAAUCAGCUACAACACAGGGCUCACAUUUCCUGAGCAGGUGGGAAAGAAAAGCCUCCAGGAUAUCAAGGAGACAACUGCCUAAAUCCUAAAGAGGAGGUUUCCAGACUUUUGAAGAGGACACUAGACAAACAAUAAAUUGAAACUUUUCCUAAACGUUCAAGGAAAAGCUUCCUUAAAAUCUAAUCUUAUGAAGUACAGUAGAGAUGUGAGCAAGUAUAAAUCAGAGGUAUCCUGAAAUGGUCUGUAAUGGAUCAAAAUUUAGAUGACAGUUGUAAAACAUCAUUUUAAGUUUCCCUGGCUUGGUUACAAAUGUAACCUGAGAACCAGAAGAAUGUUAAGGUUUUUCUAUGCUAUUUUAAAUCAGUGGUUCUUGGAAACACACAUAUACACAAACACACACAUGUAUUAUCUCUCUAUCUAUCUAUCUAUCAGAUUAAGUUGGUUUUAGGUGCUUAUUUAGAGUAGGCUUACCCAAAUCACAUAAUCUAGUUUGCUGCUAUUUAUGCUGGUAUAUUUGACAACUGUUACCCUGAGUGACAAUUAUAGAUCAGUUUCCUUUAUUUUCUGGGUCUCCAGCUUGACCAAGUGAUAUAUCACCAUCUCUGAAUUGGUGGUGGCUGGUGAACAAACUAUGCUUUUGUUUGUUCAUCUUUUAAAAAUCAUCCAAAUUAAAUGUGCAUUUAAGAAUUGAGGGUUCUUAAAUACAUCCAUACAAUAGAGACUACUUUGCCAUCAUUAAACAUGAUGAGGUAACAUUAACAUCCAAAAGGAGAAAUACUUAGGUAUAAACCUAACAAAACAUGUUUAAGAACUAAAUGAGGUAAAUUGCAAAACUGUUGAAACUAAUCAAAGGAAGACUAAAUAGAGAGAUAAUCCACAUUCAUGAACAGAAGGGCUCAAUAGUAUUAAGACGUCAGUUCUUCCUGACUCGAUCUAUAGAUUCAAUGGAAACAUUAUCCUAUAAACACAUGCACGAUCAUUCUAUAUAUUCAUGAAAGCAUCAAAAGACAACUGGAAGAAUAUAUACUAGUUAUGAUGAUUAUCCAUAAGUGGCAGCUCAAUAAUGAGUGAUCACCCUGUUAGAUUUUUACAAUUUAUAUUGCUUGUUAUUAUAUCAAGUAUGUAUUGGUUUUAUCAUCAGCAAACAAACAAACAACAAAAACGCUAUGAUGAGAAAAGACAAUAAAGUUUAUAAUCAGGAAAGCCAGACAGACUGAGGAGAUGAUGCAGGUUCUUUUCUACAUUUAGGGCAGACUGGGCGGUGAGUGCUGUCCUCAAAACUUCUGCCACAAAGUCCCCUCAAUAGCAAAUUUUCCAACACACACAGCUUCCAGGCCUUGAAACCAGUUCAUCUGACAAGGUGGGGGAGACAGCACUGAGGGCAAAGAGAGAUGGCCUGAGAGAGAGCACAGUGCUUUCAUUGGGUUUAUUGAUCAGACAUACAGUGUCAUGAGGUUCAGGCCAUUGUGAAUAAUCACUAUCACAUGGGAGCACUGAAUCUUUCACCACCACUAGCCAGAGUCUCACGCCUUCCAAGGGAUGCUGCCUCCACCCAAGUUUUCAUCCUGGAGCGGAUACUCUAUGCUUGUAGUCAUUCUAUGCUUGGAUCAUACACAACAAUGAAUCACAAAAGAAAAAAAGAGGCAGGGGUGGGGGUGGGGCAGAAAGCUUGCACAGAAAAUGUGGAAUAAGUAUUUUAGUUAUUACGUUACCAUUUUUCAAGUAUGAAACCCCCAAAAAAAGUUUGGGAAGAGGGAAUGGGAAGGAAAGGAAAGUUAGAGGAUGUCAAGUCUCAGCUGUUAACCUUCUCCUUUCCCCCAAAGCUUAUUAAAAAAUAUGCAGCAAUCUGUUAAUGCCCUUAGGAGGUGAGUCUAGGCCCUGUUGAGAGCUUCCUAUUCCCCCAACUCUUCCCAAUCCUUUCUGAGCACAUUUCAGAAGGGCAAAAGGACAGGCCCAGCAUCCACCAAGCAGAAUAUUCCUGAAAGACUCCUGAGUGUGAAGGCAGUGUGACACGGUAGUCACAACCAUAAAGAAGCCAAGUCUAAGCCUCCAGGGAGAGAGCAGUCUUUGUUCUGCCACCAUCUGCACUUCCUUGAGGAGAGCGAGACGAGGGCCCCCCUCAGCCAUCAUCCCUCACAGAUGCUUUCACUGAGUACCACAAAAAAAGGCCCAAAGUUGCCUAAGGCCCACGAGAUACCCCUGUGCAAUGAGAUAAGGGAUCUCAGGAUGAAAUGAGUGGCCACUCAGUAUGAAAGGUACCCACCCUGCUUGCUAAGCUAGCUCCUUUGACUUCUGACAGUCAUUUGCUUUUUAUGACACAUAUGAGCUACCUACUUUGUUCCGCCUCUGGAAUUUUUGUCCCUUUGGCUCGUGUCCUUCUGUUUGGGUGCAUUUAGUCUUCCCUGUGCCAACUGUGCCUACAGUGGUUGUGAUCCAUGGUUUUGCUCUUACUUAGAACACAUACCUGUUCCUCAGACCCUGCUCCAGGGCACUGAGCCUGCUGUCCCUUCAGCACUCAUACCCUUUACUGAAAGGGUCUUCAAGACCUAUACCCCUUUGGGUUGCACUGGCACCCAGCCUCUAGGAGUGACCGGCUGCCCUCUUGAAGGCUUUUAUGGAUCCAGCAGCUAAUUCUCAGGGGCCAUUUCUGCCUCUCUCCUCCCCCAAGGGGCAACUAGACACAGGCUUAGGAAACCUGCUUCUCAUUUCUUUAAUGUCCCAGGAAUCAGGGAGUUCCCAGCGUGGCUCAGCAAAAAUAAAUCUGAUUUGUAUCCAUGAGGACGCAGGUUCAAUCCCUGGCCUUGCUAAGUGGGUUAAGGAUCUGGCGUUGCCGUGAGCUGUGGUGUAAGUCACAGAUGCGACUGGGAUACCGAGUUGCUGUAGCUGUGGUGUAGGCUAGCAGCUACAGCUCCGAUGUGACCCCUAGACUAGAAACUUCCAUAUGAUGCAGUUGCAGCCCUAAAAAGAAAAAAAAAAAAAUUGUCCCAGGAAUCAUAUUCAGUGGACAAAUGACCCUGAGGUCCACCUGCAUUU
This 6505-nucleotide long non-coding RNA is filed under the name Sus scrofa (pig). RNAcentral describes it as "lncRNA (ENSSSCG00065069519.1)". The record is from RNAcentral. Lineage: Eukaryota; Metazoa; Chordata; Mammalia; Artiodactyla; Suidae.